RNAcentral lists this non-coding RNA (29 nucleotides) under Rattus norvegicus (Norway rat). The record is from RNAcentral. Lineage: Eukaryota; Metazoa; Chordata; Mammalia; Rodentia; Muridae.
UCCCAGAUGAACAGGAACUGAACAGCUGG